GGAUGUGAGGGCGAUCUGACUGCGACACCUGUCACCCCACUGACCGUCAGAGUGGAUUCAGCUGAUGUGGCUGGCUAGGCAGGCGUCCCCUUCCUCCCCCACUGCCCCAUGUGCGUCCCUCCUGAGGUUACACACUCGAUCCAAGAGGACGACCUUCCCCAGUAGAGGAGCACCGUUUUCCAGUCAAGGGUAUAUGAGUAGCUGCGCACCCCUGACAGAGCCUCCAAACAAGCUCUCAAGGUCAAGCAUAAUGUCCAGCUUUAUUAAAGCACAGGGUGGCCUUCUUGAUCCUUGAGUGCAGGCUUUUGACUGAA
This 314-nucleotide small nuclear RNA is filed under the name Propithecus coquereli (Coquerel's sifaka). Its description in RNAcentral is "7SK RNA (ENSPCOG00000001628.1)". It matches the Rfam family "7SK RNA". Rfam says of the family: 7SK was discovered as an abundant small nuclear RNA in the mid-70s but a possible function has only recently been suggested. Two independent studies have found that 7SK RNA binds the CDK9/cyclin T complex (known as elongation factor P-TEFb). Lineage: Eukaryota; Metazoa; Chordata; Mammalia; Primates; Indriidae. The record is from Rfam by way of RNAcentral.